GACGAACGCUGGCGGCGUGCCUAAUACAUGCAAGUAGGACGCAGUUGCGAACGGGUGAGUAACGCGUAGGUAACUACCUAUUAGAGGGGGAUAACUAUUGGAAACGAUAGCUAAUACCGCAUACUAGUAGAUGGACCUGCGUUGUAUUAGCUAGUAGGUAGGGUAAUGGCCUACCUAGGCAACGAUACAUAGCCGACCUGGAGAGGUGAUCGGCCACACUGGGACUGGGACACGGCCCAAGCUCCUACGGGAGGCAGCAGUAGGGGAACUUGGGCAAUGGGGGGAACCCUGACCUAGCAACGCCGCGGGAGUGAAGAAGGUUUUCGGAUCGUAAAGCUCUGUUGUUAAGGAAGCGGUACUUAACGAGAAAGGGACGGCUAACUACGUGCCAGCAGCCGCGGUAAUAC
This 407-nucleotide ribosomal RNA is filed under the name uncultured bacterium. RNAcentral's name for it is "partial 16S ribosomal RNA". It matches the Rfam family "Bacterial small subunit ribosomal RNA", at positions 28 to 526 of the family's 1533-position model. The record is from RNAcentral.